UGAAUACGAGACGCUAAGGCGUCGAAGUAGUGUAUGUCAUACUUCCAAGAAAAGCUUGCACUGUCAUAAGUAAAAAAUGCCUGUACCAUAACCGACACAGGUGGGUAGGUAGAGUAUACUAAGGGGCGCGAGAUAACUCUCUCUAAGGAACUCGGCAAAAUAACUCCGUAACUUCGGGAGAAGGAGUACCUUAUUCUAUAAGGUUGCAAUAACAAGAUCCAAGCAACUGUUUAUCAAAAACACAGGUCUCCGCUAAGUCGUAAGACGAUGUAUGGGGGCUGACGCCUGCCCAGUGCCAGAAGGUUAAAGAAGUCGGUUAGCAUUAGCGAAGCUGGUAACUGAAGCCCUGGUGAACGGCGGCCGUAACUAUAACGGUCCUAAGGUAGCGAAAUUCCUUGUCGGGUAAGUUCCGACCCGCACGAAAGGCGUAAUGAUUUGGAUACUGUCUCGGAGAGGGGCUCGGUGAAAUAGACUUGUCUGUGAAGAUGCGGACUACCUGCACCAGGACAGAAAGACCCUAUGAAGCUUUACUGUAACUUGAAAUUGAAAUUGGACUUUAUUCGCGCAGUAUAGGUGGGAGGUGUUGAUUAUAAUCUUGCGGGAUUAUUGGAGCCAUCAGUGAGAUACCACUCUUGUAAUGUUAGAUUUCUAACUUUGAAUCAUUAUCUGGUCAAAGGACAGUUUCAGGCGGGCAGUUUGACUGGGGCGGUCGCCUCCCAAACGGUAACGGAGGCGUACAAAGGUUUCCUCUGAACGGGUAGAAAUCGUAUCUAGAGUGUAAAGGCAUAAGGAAGCUUGACUGUGAGACCUACAAGUCGAACAGGGACGAAAGUCGGUCUUAGUGAUCUGACGGUACUGAGUGGAAAGGCCGUCACUCAACGGAUAAAAGUUACUCUAGGAUAACAGGCUGAUCUCCCCCAAGAGUUCACAUCGACGGGGAGGUUUGGCACCUCGAUGUCGGCUCAUCGCAUCCUGGGGCGGUAGUACGUCCCAAGGGUUGGGCUGUUCGCCCAUGAAAGCGGUACGCGAGCUGGGUUCAGAACGUCGUGAGACAGUUCGGUCCAUAUCCGGUGUAGGCGUUAGAAUAUUGAGAGGAGCCUUCUUUAGUACGAGAGGACCGAGAAGGACAUACCUCUGGUGUACCAGUUAUCGUGCCAACGGUAAACGCUGGGUAGCUAUGUAUGGAGUGGAUAACCGCUGAAAGCAUCUAAGUGGGAAGCCCACCUCAAGAUAAGUAUUCUCAUC
Molecule: ribosomal RNA, 1245 nt
Filed under: metagenome
Description: bacterial LSU rRNA
Rfam family: Bacterial large subunit ribosomal RNA
Source: RNAcentral